GAUGAACGCUGGCGGCGUGCUUAACACAUGCAAGUCGAACGGAAAGGCUCCUGCUUGCCGGGGUACUCGAGUGGCGAACGGGUGAGUAACACGUGGGUGAUCUGCCCUUCACUUCGGGAUAAGUCUGGGAAACUGGGUCUAAUACCGGAUAGGACGAUGUUUUGGAUGCCGUUGUGGAGAGAUUUUCCGGUGUGGGAUGAGCUCUCGGCCUAUCAGCUUGUUGGUGUGGUAUUGGCAUACCAAGGCGUCGACGGGUAGCCGGCCUGAGAGGGUGUACGGCCACAUUGGGACUGAGAUACGGCCCAGACUCCUACGGGAGGCAGCAGUGGGGAAUAUUGCACAAUGGGCGCAAGCCUGAUGCAGCGACGCCGCGUGGGGGAUGACGGCCUUCGGGUUGUAAACUCCUUUCGCUAGGGACGAAGCGCGAGUGACGGUACCUGGAGAAGAAGCACCGGCUAACUACGUG
This 466-nucleotide ribosomal RNA is filed under the name uncultured bacterium. Its description in RNAcentral is "partial 16S ribosomal RNA". It matches the Rfam family "Bacterial small subunit ribosomal RNA", at positions 28 to 507 of the family's 1533-position model. The record is from RNAcentral.